RNAcentral lists this ribosomal RNA (523 nucleotides) under uncultured bacterium. RNAcentral describes it as "bacterial SSU rRNA". It matches the Rfam family "Bacterial small subunit ribosomal RNA", at positions 68 to 616 of the family's 1533-position model. The record is from RNAcentral.
GAGAAAGCAGGAGCAAUCUUGUGAGUAAAGUGGCGUACGGGUGAGUAACACGUGGAUCAUCUACCUUUUAGUUGGGGAAUACCCCUGGGAAACCGGGGGACAUAUACCGCCAUAAGCUCGUGAGAGGAAAGCAGCAAUGCGCUGAAAGAGGAGUCCGCGGCUGAUUAGCUAGUUGGCGGGGUAACGGCCCACCAAGGCGAAGAUCGGUAGCCGGCCUGAGAGGGCACACGGCCACACUGGCACUGAAACACGGGCCAGACUCCUACGGGAGGCAGCAGUGGGGAAUCUUGCACAAUGGAGGAAACUCUGAUGCAGCGACGCCGCGUGAGCGAUGAAGCCCUUCGGGGUGUAAAGCUCUUUCGACGGGAACGAUAAUGACGGUACCCGAAGAANAAGCUGCGGCUAACUACUUGCCAGCAGCCGCGGUAANNACCUAGCCAGCGAGCGUUGUUCGGAAUUACUGGGCGUAAAGAGUGCGUAGGCGGUGCUCUAAGUCUGUUGUGAAAUCUCCCGGCUUAACUGG